UCCCGCUACUAUUUAAAAAUGAUUAGCACUUCUAGAUUGCGGAGUCUUAACAUUAGGUGUCAGGGUGUGUUUGGUUGGAAGUAAUGGAGUGGAAAGGAAAGGCUAUUCUACCCAAUUUCAUUUUUGGUUCCAUUUUUUUGUUUAGAAAGGGCUUUCCUACUGAAAGCCGAUUCACUCAAUUUGAGUGAAUCCUCAUUCCCGUUGGGGGGCAAUGGAAAGGUCUUUCCAUUCAGGCCUCAUUUCUUUUUUUUUUCUCCAAAAUUUCCCCGAUAGAGAGAAGAAACCUUAGCCCGCAUUUCCUUUGCGAUUGCUACUCCAUCGAGCUCCACAAAAGCUUUUCGCUCCUCUCCUUCUCUCUUCCUUUUCUUCCUUCCCCCAAACUGAAUCUCUGCGUCUUCUUCCUUUUCGUUUCAAUCUCCUCCUCAGAUUCCGAUUUCCUUUAGAGCUGGUUCUAGCUUCACCAGUGCCUCAAUUUCCGACCAAAACGAAGAGGUUCCCGCCGGCGUCCAAUCUAAUUUCGCUGGCGUGCGAUUGGAGGAGAUGGUCGCGGCUGAUUCCGGCAAGGCCAGGCUCGAUUCUUGGAUCUCUUCUCGUGUUAGCGGAAUCAAUAGGGCUCGCGUGCAGUCUAGCAUCCGACAAGGAGGCAAAUUUCUGCAGCGAAACUUUUUGGAGCUAGCAGAAGUCUCGUAGAGAUCAUUUUGAGGUGACAGCUAUCGGGAUAUUAUUCACAAGAGAGGCAGUCUAAAUGUCUUUUUUUUUUUUUUUUUUUGGUUCUCGUUGUUCUGAAUAAUUUUUGAUAGCUUCUUUGUUGCUCGUGAUUAUACUUUUAUGCUUAGUGUUUUAGACAAGAGUUUAAAUGUACUAAUUUAGUUGUUUUAUUGUAGAAUAAUGGCUCACUUAAGAUCAGGCAAAAGUGAAACUUUGAGAAAGAGGAAGAUAGUUGCUUUGUUUUUACAUUGGUUGAAUAUUAUACAUAUUGUGCAAUAGUUCUUUCAAUUAA
Morus notabilis is the source of this 1000-nucleotide long non-coding RNA. RefSeq lists it as uncharacterized. Lineage: Eukaryota; Viridiplantae; Streptophyta; Magnoliopsida; Rosales; Moraceae. The record is from RefSeq and is a predicted model, not a curated record. The transcript is spliced from 2 exons.